RNAcentral lists this ribosomal RNA (253 nucleotides) under uncultured bacterium. RNAcentral describes it as "partial 16S ribosomal RNA". It matches the Rfam family "Bacterial small subunit ribosomal RNA", at positions 524 to 776 of the family's 1533-position model. The record is from RNAcentral.
UACAGGGGGUGCAAACGUUGCUCGGAAUCAUUGGGCGUAAAGCGCACGUAGGCGGUUCGUUAUGUCGGAUGUGAAAGCCCUUGGCUUAACCGAGGAAGUGCAUCCGAAACUGGCGAGCUAGAGUACGGAAGAGGAUCGCGGAAUUCCCGGUGUAGAGGUGAAAUUCGUAGAUAUCGGGAGGAACACCUGUGGCGAAAGCGGCUCACUGGACCAUAACUGACGCUGAUGCACGAAAGCUAGGGGAGCAAACAGG